AAGACCUUGCGCUUUUGGAGCGGCCGAUGCCUGAUUAGCUUGUUGGUAAGGUAAAAGCUUACCAAGGCUUCGAUCAGUAGCUGGUCUGAGAGGACGACCAGCCACACUGGGACUGAGACACGGCCCAGACUCCUACGGGAGGCAGCAGUGGGGAAUUUUGGACAAUGGGGGCAACCCUGAUCCAGCCAUGCCGCGUGAGUGAAGAAGGCCUUCGGGUUGUAAAGCCCUUUCAGCCGGAACGAAACGGUUACGGUUAAUACCCGUGACUACUGACGGUACCGGAAGAAGAAGCACCGGCUAACUACGUGCCAGCAGCCGCGGUAAUACGUAGGGUGCGAGCGUUAAUCGGAAUUACUGGGCGUAAAGCGUGCGCAGGUGGUUUUGUAAGUCAGAUGUGAAAGCCCCGGGCUCAACCUGGGAACU
RNAcentral lists this ribosomal RNA (423 nucleotides) under uncultured bacterium. RNAcentral describes it as "bacterial SSU rRNA". It matches the Rfam family "Bacterial small subunit ribosomal RNA", at positions 207 to 622 of the family's 1533-position model. The record is from RNAcentral.